RNAcentral lists this long non-coding RNA (323 nucleotides) under Monodelphis domestica (gray short-tailed opossum). Its description in RNAcentral is "lncRNA (ENSMODG00000048624.1)". Lineage: Eukaryota; Metazoa; Chordata; Mammalia; Didelphimorphia; Didelphidae. The record is from RNAcentral.
UGCUGCCUUGGUAGUAGGAAGCAGACAGAUUGCUGGGGUUGGUUUAAAAAAAGGGCAGUAAAUACAAAAGAUAGCCUUGAUAUGGUGACUGAUAGAACAUGGAAAGGACCAGAGUCUGGAGGGAUCUGUGCAGAAUGUAGCCUGAUGAGCAUUUGGUGAACUACCUCUCACCUCCCAUGAUAGACAGCCUGCUGUUGGACUUUCAUUUAAAGGCUUUCCUGGUAAUGAAGAAAAAAUCCACAAUCUGGCUCAUCGAUGUUUUUAAGGUGCAACUGAACUGUCAUUUCUUCCAUGAAUCAUUCUCAAGCUCCCUACCUCCCUGA